UACGAAGGGGGCUAGCGUUGUUCGGAAUUACUGGGCGUAAAGCGCACGUAGGCGGAUUUGUAAGUAGGGGGUGAAAUCCCCAGGCUCAACCUGGGAACUGCCUUCUAAACUGCAAGUCUGGAGAUCAGGAGAGGCGAGUGGAAUACCGAGUGUAGAGGUGAAAUUCGUAGAUAUUCGGUGGAACACCAGUGGCGAAGGCGACUCGCUGGACUGAUACUGACGCUGAGGUGCGAAAGCGUGGGGAGCAAACAGG
This 253-nucleotide ribosomal RNA is filed under the name uncultured prokaryote. RNAcentral's name for it is "partial 16S ribosomal RNA". It matches the Rfam family "Bacterial small subunit ribosomal RNA", at positions 524 to 776 of the family's 1533-position model. The record is from RNAcentral.